CCUACGGGAGGCAGCAGUGAGGAAUAUUGGUCAAUGGACGCAAGUCUGAACCAGCCAUGCCGCGUGCAGGAAGACUGCUCUAUGAGUUGUAAACUGCUUUUGUACGAGAGUAAAACCAGAUACGCGUAUCUGUUUGAAAGUAUCGUACGAAUAAGGAUCGGCUAACUCCGUGCCAGCAGCCGCGGUAAUACGGAGGAUUCAAGCGUUAUCCGGAUUUAUUGGGGUUAAAGGGUGCGUAGGUGGUCGGGUAAGUUAGUUGUGAAAUUCUGAGGCUCAACCUUGGAAUUGCCUCUGAUACUGGUCGUCUUGAGUGCAGUUGAGGUAGGCGGAAUGUGUGGUGUAGCGGUGAAAUGCUUAGAGAUCAUACAGAACACCGAUUGCGAAGGCAGCUUACCAAGCUGCUACUGACGUUGAGGCACGAAAGCGUGGGGAGCAAACAGGAUUAGAUACCCGGGUAGUC
RNAcentral lists this ribosomal RNA (460 nucleotides) under uncultured bacterium. RNAcentral describes it as "partial 16S ribosomal RNA". It matches the Rfam family "Bacterial small subunit ribosomal RNA", at positions 338 to 795 of the family's 1533-position model. The record is from RNAcentral.